Molecule: ribosomal RNA, 228 nt
Filed under: uncultured bacterium
Lineage: Bacteria
Description: partial 16S ribosomal RNA
Rfam family: Bacterial small subunit ribosomal RNA
Source: RNAcentral
CGGGUGACGAACACGUCAACCUUCCUUUAACUGGAGAAUAGCCCCUCGAAAGAGGGAUUAAUACUCCGUAACAUCCCGAUGUGGCAUCACAACGGGAUUAUAGCUCCGGCGGUUAAAGAUGGGCGUGCGCCUGAUUAGAUAGUUGGCGGGGUAACGGCCCACCAAGUCUGCGAUCAGUAACUGGUGUGAGAGCACGACCAGUCACACGGGCACUGAGACACGGGCCCG